UCCUGCAAAUGAUCGUCAACGAAAGAUACGAAUCGCUGAAGGUAUCAAAGCAUUGCAGGAACUGAUUCCUAAUUCUUCUGAGCGUGGUCAAGCAAAUGCACUGGAUGAUGUUAUUGACUAUGUCAAGUUUCUGCAGAUGCAAAUCAAGGAAUUAAGUCGAAGUAGAUUGGGAGGCGAACCAACUUCUAAUCCUUUGGUUUUCUUUGAGGGAUAUGGUCACUAUGUUCUCCAUGAACAGAUGAUAAAUGAACCUCUUGAAGAGAUGUGGGGAAGUUACUGGAGAUAAACCCAUCAGCAGCAAGUCAGCUGUUAGAGAGCAGAGGCCUUCACAUUAUGCCAAGGGCACUGGUUGAUGGCUUGAACAGAACCUCAUAGAUAGUCCAUACACAGCACCACUCUGCUAUAUCCGCUUAGUUUUGUUGACUAGCUAUGAUCCGAGUUUCCAUUUCUUUUGUGGACAAUAGAACCUAAACAGUAUUUCUAGUUUCAAAACACAGUUUACAGAACAAUGGCUAGUGUUCUUAAGUUUUAGUUGAAUGCACUUCGGAAGCUCUAGGCUGCGAGCC
Molecule: long non-coding RNA, 566 nt
Organism: Hibiscus syriacus
Lineage: Eukaryota; Viridiplantae; Streptophyta; Magnoliopsida; Malvales; Malvaceae
Exons: 6
Source: RefSeq, a predicted model, not a curated record